CAAUAGCGUAUAUUAAAGUUGUUGCGGUUAAAAAGCUCGUAGUUGGAUUUCUGUCGAGGGCGGCCGGUCCUUACUAUGUAAGUGCAUCUGGUUCGGUCUUGGCAUCCUCUUGGGGAUCGUUUCUGUGCUUGAUUGCAUGGGGCGGAAUUCAAGACUUUUACUUUGUAGGAAAUUAGAGUGUUCACGGCAAGCUAUCGCUUUGUAAUACAUUAGCAUGGAAUAAUGAUAUAGGGCGUAAGUUCUAUUUUGUUUGGUUUCUUAGGACGUACGCAAUGAUUAAUAGGGAUAAUUGGGGGUCGGAUUCGUAUUAACGCGUCAGAGGUGGAA
RNAcentral lists this ribosomal RNA (327 nucleotides) under uncultured eukaryote. RNAcentral describes it as "SSU rRNA". It matches the Rfam family "Eukaryotic small subunit ribosomal RNA", at positions 592 to 916 of the family's 1831-position model. The record is from RNAcentral.